UUGAACCUAAUUUGCACGCUAGCAAAGCAAAAGUGCAGAGAAAUAGAAUUUUUCAUUAUAAAGAGACCAAUUAUUAAAGUGGAAAUCAAAAUGUGCACCGGCGGUUCUCCUAGCAGCAAUGGUUCCCAAGCCGGCGAUAGCACCGAGACCGAGCAACAACCGCCAGCAACGCAACAACAGGAACAGACUCUGAGAAGAGCCAUUGAAGCAUCCACGACAGAAGAGAUUCUUGCUGAAUAUGGUGAAAAUUUGAAGCUUUUAACAUUGAAUUCGCAAGUUGCCGAGCUGCUGACCAUUAUCCGGGAUAAAAACACCUCGCGUAGCGAUUUUAAAUUUUAUGCUGACCGGCUAAUUCGGUUGGUCAUCGAGGAAUCUCUUAAUCAGCUGCCCUACACUGACUGCGACGUGGAGACGCCCACGGGUGCCAUUUAUGAGGGCCUUAAAUACCGUUCCGGUAACUGCGGCGUAUCCAUUAUACGUUCCGGCGAGGCCAUGGAGCAGGGAUUGCGAGAUUGCUGUCGCUCCAUACGCAUUGGCAAGAUCUUGGUCGAAUCGGAUGCUAAUACACACGAGGCACGCGUGGUGUAUGCCCGAUUUCCCGAUGACAUUGGCAGCCGCCAAGUGCUGCUCAUGUAUCCCAUAAUGUCCACUGGGAAUACAGUGCUGCAGGCUGUCAAUGUGCUGAGGGAACAUGGUGUGCCCGAGAAGUGCAUCAUACUGUCGAACCUGUUCUGCACACCUGUCGCCGCACGCACCGUGGUCAAUGCGUUUCCUAAAAUGAAGAUUCUCACCUCUGAGCUGCACCCAGUGGCGCCCAAUCACUUUGGCCAGAAAUACUUUGGUACUGACUAGAUAGGCAGUCACGGCAGUCAACAAGACUUGACAACUAAGCUCUGCUUAGGAUAGGUAGUGUGUAUGAUGAAUUGGAGGAGGAGGAUCCCCAACUACUAUCAAAUAUUAUAUUUAAUUAGCGUUUUAAAAUUUGGUUUUUAAUGAAAAAUCGCAAAGAUACGUGACUUGUUAAACUUAUGUAAAUACAAACAGAAUAAAUAUUAUAUAUAAUCACUUA
Molecule: RNA transcript, 1069 nt
Organism: Drosophila innubila
Lineage: Eukaryota; Metazoa; Arthropoda; Insecta; Diptera; Drosophilidae
Gene: kri
Gene name: uracil phosphoribosyltransferase homolog
Exons: 3
Source: RefSeq, a predicted model, not a curated record